AUAACUAUUCCUUAUCAGGGUGACGAAUAGUCAAUCCAUAGUCACAUUAUUCUGAUAAUGGGAUCACGGCGUGCUAUAUAGGGACGAUGAGAUCCUCCGAAACUCCCGGUAGGGAAUAAAAGAAAAACUCCCACCAUCUCUCACCAACCUCCCGACUCCCUCCAAUGCAUCGCCGCCGGCCCCAACCUCCUGAUUCCAGCGCGUUGCCGGACCCCUCCACCUGCUUCCGCCGCGUCGCCCCGAACCGGCGCCGCCGGACCCCUCUUCCCUUCUGUCGGCGUGCCUCUUCCCCCGCCGCCGGAGCGCCACUUCCCCCAUCCGCCGGCGCUCCUCCUCCCGCUCCACCCUAAACCAUGCGCCUCCAUCCUCCCACCCCGACGCGAGCGACCCACUGGGCGCCGCACCUGCAUCGCCGCCCCCCUCCCCAGCCACCGGCGCGCCAUCCUCCCCGCUCCACUGCCGCCACCCCGCCCCGGCCGCAACCCACGACGCCCCGUCUCUCCUCCCCUGGAUCGCCGUUGCGUGCCGCCGAUGCAGGACACCUCCCGAUGCGCUGCCGCCAUGUCGCGGAUGACCCCGAGCGACCUUCUUUUCCACCUCCCCAAGCGCCGCCACUCUGGACCCAUCGCACUCAGGCCCUCACCCCUGCCGCCGCGACCUUCUCCCCUUGCCACCGCGACCUUCUUCCCCCUGCCUCCGCGACCUUCUUCCCCCUUCCCCGCACUGCCCUUCGGAUGAGAGGCAGCGCUCCAACCAGCCAUGCUCAUGGGUCACCGCCCACCACCAGCGCACCUCAUUCCGCCGGCACGAACUUCCUCUCGCCCCUAACUCAAUCCUUCUUUUGCCGGCCAGAUCCGAGCGCCUUCUCUGCCCACGCCUCUCCGGCGAGAGCCUCCUUCUCUACAUACUCCGAGUGACUCCGGACAGAUCCAUGGAGCUCGAGAAGUUCAUUGGCUGCGGAGGUGGUUGCUGCCGACUCCAGGGCUUCGCCUCACUCGGACGACUCACUACCUCUAGCGGCCGCCGCCGUCCAUCGCGCCGGCUCAUGUCACCUUCCUGGUCGCCCCACGCGCUGACCAGCGCUGCUCCGAUCCAGCUCCUCCAUCCUCCAGCCACGACAACCAAGUCCAAAAACAAAAGAAGUUCUGAUUCUCGCAAGCUACAAGUUCAGAGCUUUCACUUCUCUGAACAAAAUUCAGAUUUUUGCACCUACAUAUAUGCCAAGUAGGUUCACUUGUGCGAGCGGUGCUUCCAGUUCAGUUGCAAGCUUUCGCUUCUUCAUGAUCACGAUCGCUUGCUUGUCUUCUCUUCUUCCCUGAACCCAAUCCCCUGGGAUCAUGCAGGGAGUUUCAAAGAGCGUUAACUACUCAGAACCUGAGUAUUUUGUGGUGGUUUGAUCUGAAUGAUCAAUAUGUUUGCUUCUUGAUACUACACAAAAGAAGAAAAACGGCAAGUCUAUCAUCCAAUUGAGUGUGUGUUUCAGAAUUCAAGAUCGGUAAUUUCUACAUUGAGUGGUAGGUCCACGCACACAAUCUCUGCUUUCAACUUGAAGAAAAAGCAGUCAUCAUGUCCGGCACAAACACAGAAAUCUCAUGGCCCAGUGAUCUGCCGCGUCGCACGCCAACAAUGAGCGACAAGCUCAAAGAUUCGCUUGAUUUAGUCGGAGGAAAAUGCAUACUGCAUCCGUUUGUGGCUGCAGAAAAUACAGAAGUUCCUUUAGAGAUGUAGUAUUAUUCUUCAGAGUUCUGAUAACUGAAUUUUGGGCCGCUGAACCAUGCUAACCUCGACCUUGUAAAAGGAUGUUCAGAAGUUUGAAGUAGACUAAAACAAAAGUAAAAAAAAAAAGAGCUAUGUGCUGCUGUGUCCGUAGUAGGUGUGGUGUCUCGUAUGUGUGUGCGAGCGUUCACUGUGUGGGUCCUCGUGUGUUCCUGUGGGUCGUAUGCUCCCAUGUGUGCGUGCUCUUUUUUUUUGAGAAAAAUGUGUGCGUGCUCUAGUGUGUGUGUCAUGUGUGCUCUCAUGUAUACUCCGUGUAAUUAUUGUGUCCAUAUGUUCAUAAGGUUAUUUGAUUGUGUCGAGAAACUUCUAAAUUU
This is a long non-coding RNA of Triticum aestivum (bread wheat), 2090 nucleotides long. RefSeq lists it as uncharacterized. The transcript has 2 exons. The record is from RefSeq and is a predicted model, not a curated record. NCBI's taxonomy places the organism in Eukaryota, Viridiplantae, Streptophyta, Magnoliopsida, Poales, Poaceae.